CGUGUAGGCGGUUUUUUAAGUCUGAUGUGAAAGCCCUGGGCUCAACCCGGGAAGUGCAUUGGAAACUGGGAGACUUGAAUACGGGAGAGGGCAGUGGAAUUCCUGGUGUAGGAGUGAAAUCCGUAGAUAUCAGGAGGAACACCGGUGGCGAAGGCGGCUGCCUGGACCGAUAUUGACGCUGAGACGCGAAAGCGUGGGGAGCAAACA
RNAcentral lists this ribosomal RNA (207 nucleotides) under uncultured Geobacter sp. Its description in RNAcentral is "partial 16S ribosomal RNA". It matches the Rfam family "Bacterial small subunit ribosomal RNA", at positions 568 to 774 of the family's 1533-position model. The record is from RNAcentral. Lineage: Bacteria; Pseudomonadati; Thermodesulfobacteriota; Desulfuromonadia; Geobacterales; Geobacteraceae.